GCGCCCGAGGUCAGUGGCUAAGACGCCUGCCUUCAAAAGCCCUCGUAGCCCUGGGGCACCUAAAAGCAGGAGGUGUGUGUUCGAAUCACACCGGUCGCC
Molecule: transfer RNA, 99 nt
Filed under: Acidithrix ferrooxidans
Lineage: Bacteria; Bacillati; Actinomycetota; Acidimicrobiia; Acidimicrobiales; Acidimicrobiaceae
Rfam family: tRNA
About the family: Transfer RNA (tRNA) molecules are approximately 80 nucleotides in length. Their secondary structure includes four short double-helical elements and three loops (D, anti-codon, and T loops).
Source: Rfam by way of RNAcentral